GUAGGAGUCGAUUUGGAGGUUGUGCCCUUGAGGCGUGGCUUCCGAAGCUAACGCGUUAAAUCGACCGCCUGGGGAGUACGGCCGCAAGGUUAAAACUCAAAUGAAUUGACGGGGGCCCGCACAAGCGGUGGAGCAUGUGGUUUAAUUCGAUGCAACGCGAAGAACCUUACCUACUCUUGACAUCCAGCGAAUCCUGUAGAGAUACGGGAGUGCCUUCGGGAACGCUGAGACAGGUGCUGCAUGGCUGUCGUCAGCUCGUGUUGUGAAAUGUUGGGUUAAGUCCCGCAACGAGCGCAACCCUUAUCCUUUGUUGCCAGCGGUUCGGCCGGGAACUCAAAGGAGACUGCCAGUGAUAAACUGGAGGAAGGUGGGGAUGACGUCAAGUCAUCAUGGCCCUUACGAGUAGGGCUACACACGUGCUACAAUGGCGUAUACAAAGAGAAGCGACCUCGCGAGAGCAAGCGGACCUCAUAAAGUACGUCGUAGUCCGGAUUGGAGUCUGCAACUCGACUCCAUGAAGUCGGAAUCGCUAGUAAUCGUGGAUCAGAAUGCCACGGUGAAUACGUUCCCGGGA
RNAcentral lists this ribosomal RNA (574 nucleotides) under Edwardsiella tarda. RNAcentral's name for it is "bacterial SSU rRNA". It matches the Rfam family "Bacterial small subunit ribosomal RNA", at positions 801 to 1379 of the family's 1533-position model. The record is from RNAcentral. Lineage: Bacteria; Pseudomonadati; Pseudomonadota; Gammaproteobacteria; Enterobacterales; Hafniaceae.